AUUGAACGCUGGCGGCAGGCCUAACACAUGCAAGUCGGGCGAGCGGCGGACGGGUGAGUAAUGUAUGGGGAUCUGCCUGAUGGAGGGGGAUAACUACUGGAAACGGUAGCUAAUACCGCGUACCAUAGGAUGAGCCCCAGUGGGAUUAGGUAGUUGGUGAGGUAAAGGCUCACCAAGCCAACGAUCUCUAUCUGGUCUGCGAGGAUGACGGGCCACACGGGGACUGGGACACGGACCAGAUGCCAACGGGAGGCAGAAGUGGGAAUUAUUGCACAAUGGGAGCAAGCCUGAUGCAGACAGGCCGGGUGUAGGAAGAAGGCCGUCGGGUUGUAAAGUACUUUAAGUCGGGAGGCGGUACCGACAGAAGAAGCAACGGCUAACUCCGUGCCAGCAGCCGCGGUAAUAG
This 406-nucleotide ribosomal RNA is filed under the name uncultured bacterium. Its description in RNAcentral is "partial 16S ribosomal RNA". It matches the Rfam family "Bacterial small subunit ribosomal RNA", at positions 29 to 526 of the family's 1533-position model. The record is from RNAcentral.